RNAcentral lists this ribosomal RNA (492 nucleotides) under uncultured bacterium. Its description in RNAcentral is "bacterial SSU rRNA". It matches the Rfam family "Bacterial small subunit ribosomal RNA", at positions 355 to 862 of the family's 1533-position model. The record is from RNAcentral.
UAGGGAAUAUUGCACAAUGGGCGAAAGCCUGAUGCAGCAACGCCGCGUGCGCGAAGAAGGUCUUCGGAUCGUAAAGCGCUUUUUGGGGAGAUGAGGAAGGACAGUAUCCCCAGAAUAAGGCUCGGCUAACUACGUGCCAGCAGCCGCGGUAAAACGUAGGAGCCAAGCGUUAUCCGAAUUCACUGGGCGUAAAGCGCGUGCAGGCGGUCUGGUAAGUUGGAUGUGAAAUCUCCUGGCUCAACUGGGAGAGGCCGUUCAAUACUGUCAGACUAGAGGGCGACAGAGGGAGGUAGAAUUCCGGGUGUAGUGGUGAAAUGCGUAGAUAUCCGGAGGAAUACCAGAGGCGAAGGCGACCUUCUGGGUCGCACCUGACGCUCAGACGCGAAAGCUAGGGGAGCAAACGGGAUUAGAAACCCCGGUAGUCCUAGCCGUAAACGAUGUAGACUGGGUGUUGGCGGGGUAAAAGCCGUCAGUGCCGAAGCAAACGCGAUA